RNAcentral lists this ribosomal RNA (252 nucleotides) under uncultured bacterium. Its description in RNAcentral is "partial 16S ribosomal RNA". It matches the Rfam family "Bacterial small subunit ribosomal RNA", at positions 524 to 776 of the family's 1533-position model. The record is from RNAcentral.
UACGUAGGCAGCGAGCGUUGUUCGGAAUUACUGGGCGUAAAGAGUGUGUAGGCGGUGCUCCCAGUCUGUUGUGAAAUCUCCCGGCUCAACUGGGAGGGUGCAGCGGAAACUAGAGUGCUAGAGGGUGGGAGAGGUAAGCGGAAUUCCUGGUGUAGCGGUGAAAUGCGUAGAUAUCAGGAGGAACACCUGUGGUGUAGACAGCUUACUGGACCACUUCUGACGCUGAGACACGAAAGCGUGGUAGCAAACAGG